This is a long non-coding RNA of Frieseomelitta varia, 135 nucleotides long. RefSeq lists it as uncharacterized. NCBI's taxonomy places the organism in Eukaryota, Metazoa, Arthropoda, Insecta, Hymenoptera, Apidae. The record is from RefSeq and is a predicted model, not a curated record. The transcript has 3 exons.
CUCGACUGACUCGGUGGUUCAAAAGCCUGGCACAUGCGGCUGACCUUUGACCGGGUGCCAGGCGGCUGCAACCUUCACAGGUGCAAGCUGUGCGGCAAGGUCGUGACGCACAUCAGGAACCACUACCACGUCCAC